Dermochelys coriacea (leatherback sea turtle) is the source of this 834-nucleotide long non-coding RNA. RefSeq lists it as uncharacterized. The transcript has 3 exons. NCBI's taxonomy places the organism in Eukaryota, Metazoa, Chordata, Testudines, Dermochelyidae. The record is from RefSeq and is a predicted model, not a curated record.
AUCCUAGUUCCAUUUGUGAAAUUAUGCAAUAUCUGUGUGAGAUCCUAGAACCCAGAGGAGUGGUUCCCUCUGGUGCUCAAGGGGGAAGAAGCAGGGGCAGCUGGAUUCAAUUAAUUUGCUAGCAGUUUGCUAGUAAGAAAGCCAAGCAGAAAGGAACCAACUCCUCUAGAGAGAAACAACUCUUUGUCCUGGCUUCAAAUUGACCCAUCCUAAGGCGCAGUCAUGUCUCCCCAAUACCUUAGGAGUCAAUCCUACAUACUACUCUCCCUCCAGGAAGGAAAGACUCCAUACCCAUAUGAAGGUCUAUUCUGCCCUCCUGCUGGUCCUAUUGCUAGCUUCUUUGGUCCAGGAUGUAGAUGACCUAAGCCUUGUUUCUGGAUAUCAGAGUAUUGUAAUCUGAGGAAUGUUCAAGGACACCUCUCCUGCUGCCCGCAUUUCUAGAGAAACACUUCACAAAUAGCUUUAAAACAAAUAUUCUCGAGGCAGGUACUGAAGCUGAAUCUGGCUUUAACCAGAUGGGGGAAACCCCUCUGCUAUUAGCUUUUCUCCUGCUGGUAUUCGGAGGAAUGUUCAAGGGCACAUCAGCUGCUGUCUGCAUUUCUAGGUAGUAGAUUUUGGUCCUAAAAUUUACUGGCCAGCUAGAAGAACAAUACUGCAAAACCAAUUUAGCUCUCACAGCUGAGCCUCACUUAACUGGAAUUAUUUAUCCUUUCAUCUUGCAGAAAUGGGUCUAUGGUGGCCUUCUAGGCCCAUACACCAAAAAUAACUGUAAAACUAGACACGUAUCAGCAGAACUAGUGUCAACUAAAGAUAAUAAAGAACUUCAUCAUCAAA